UGCCAGCAGCCGCGGUAAUACGGAGGGUGCGAGCGUUAAUCGGAAUUACUGGGCGUAAAGCGCGCGUAGGCGGCUUAUUAAGUCGGAUGUGAAAUCCCUGGGCUCAACCCAGGAACUGCAUCCGAUACUGAUAGGCUAGAGUAUGGAAGAGGGAAGCGGAAUUCCGGGUGUAGCGGUGAAAUGCGUAGAGAUCCGGAGGAACAUCAGUGGCGAAGGCGGCUUCCUGGUCCAAUACUGACGCUGAGGUGCGAAAGCGUGGGGAGCAAACAGGAUUAGAUA
RNAcentral lists this ribosomal RNA (279 nucleotides) under uncultured bacterium. RNAcentral describes it as "partial 16S ribosomal RNA". It matches the Rfam family "Bacterial small subunit ribosomal RNA", at positions 506 to 784 of the family's 1533-position model. The record is from RNAcentral.